This 253-nucleotide ribosomal RNA is filed under the name uncultured bacterium. RNAcentral's name for it is "partial 16S ribosomal RNA". It matches the Rfam family "Bacterial small subunit ribosomal RNA", at positions 524 to 776 of the family's 1533-position model. The record is from RNAcentral.
UACGUAGGGUCCAAGCGUUAUCCGGAAUCACUGGGCGUAAAGCGUGCGUAGGUGGUCUGUUAAGUGAGAUAUUAAAGCGUGUGGCUCAACCAUAUCGUUGUGUCUCAUACUGGCAGACUAGAGGACGGCAGAGGCAAGUGGAACUCGUAGUGUAGCAGUGAAAUGCGUAGAUAUUACGAAGAACACCAAUGGCGAAGGCAGCUUGCUGGGCCACACCUGACACUAAGGCACGAAAGCGUGGGGAGCGAACAGG